GAGGGUAUGGCUCGGUGGUAGAGUCCAUACUUAGCAUGCAUGAGGUCCUGGGUUCCAUCCCCAGUACCUCCA
Molecule: transfer RNA, 72 nt
Organism: Camelus ferus (Wild Bactrian camel)
Lineage: Eukaryota; Metazoa; Chordata; Mammalia; Artiodactyla; Camelidae
Rfam family: tRNA
About the family: Transfer RNA (tRNA) molecules are approximately 80 nucleotides in length. Their secondary structure includes four short double-helical elements and three loops (D, anti-codon, and T loops).
Source: Rfam